CCUACGGGUGGCAGCAGUGAGGAAUAUUGGUCAAUGGACGAGAGUCUGAACCAGCCAAGUAGCGUGAAGGAUGACUGCCCUAUGGGUUGUAAACUUCUUUUAUAAAGGAAUAAAACGAGGCACGUGUGCCUUUUUGCAUGUACUUUAUGAAUAAGGAUCGGCUAACUCCGUGCCAGCAGCCGCGGUAAUACGGAGGAUCCGAGCGUUAUCCGGAUUUAUUGGGUUUAAAGGGAGCGUAGAUGGGUUGUUAAGUCAGUUGUGAAAGUUUGCGUCUCAACCGUAAAAUUGCAAUUGAUACUGGCAGUCGUGAGUACAGUUGAGGUAAGCGGAAUUCGUGGUGUAGCGGUGAAAUGCUUAGAUAUCACGAAGAACCCCGAUUGCGAAGGCAGCUUACUAAACUGUGACUGACAUUGAUGCUCGAAAGUGUGGGUAUCAAACAGGAUUAGAUACCCGUGUAGUC
This 460-nucleotide ribosomal RNA is filed under the name uncultured bacterium. RNAcentral's name for it is "partial 16S ribosomal RNA". It matches the Rfam family "Bacterial small subunit ribosomal RNA", at positions 338 to 795 of the family's 1533-position model. The record is from RNAcentral.